GAUGAACGCUGGCGGCGUGCUUAACACAUGCAAGUCGAACGAAGCAUUUAAGACAGAUUACUUCGGUUUGAAGUCUUUUAUGACUGAGUGGCGGACGGGUGAGUAACGCGUGGGUAACCUGCCUCAUACAGGGGGAUAGCAGCUGGAAACGGCUGGUAAUACCGCAUAAGCGCACAGUACCACAUGGUACAGUGUGAAAAACUCCGGUGGUAUGAGAUGGACCCGCGUCUGAUUAGCCUGUUGGCGGGGUAACGGCCCACCAAGGCGACGAUCAGUAGCCGACCUGGGAGGGUGACCGGCCACAUUGGAGCUGAGACACGGCCCAGACUCCUACGGGAGGCAGCAGUGGGGAAUAUUGCACAAUGGAGGAAACUCUGAUGCAGCGACGCCGCGUGAGUGAAGAAGUAGUUCGCUAUGUAAAGCUCUAUCAGCAGGGAAGAUAGUGACGGUACCUGACUAAGAAGCUCCGGCUAAAUACGUG
Molecule: ribosomal RNA, 481 nt
Filed under: uncultured bacterium
Lineage: Bacteria
Description: partial 16S ribosomal RNA
Rfam family: Bacterial small subunit ribosomal RNA
Source: RNAcentral